Molecule: non-coding RNA, 1109 nt
Organism: Rattus norvegicus (Norway rat)
Lineage: Eukaryota; Metazoa; Chordata; Mammalia; Rodentia; Muridae
Source: RefSeq, a predicted model, not a curated record
UUGUUCUGGAAUUUGCUCUGGAGGCCAGGCUGGCCUCAAGCUCACUCAGAGAUUUACCUGCCUGUCUCUCUCAAGUGCUGGGAUCAAAGGCGUGUACACCAUGUCCUGGCUUACUCUUUGUUUGUUUGUUUGUUUGUUUGUUUGAGACAGGACAAUUAGCCCAGGCUAGCUUUGAAUCCCUGAGCCUCCCAAGUGCUGGGAUUACCAUCGUAUACCACCAUAGUCAGUAUCAUUUUUUAAAAAGAUUUAUUUAUUUAUUAUAUAUGAGUACACUGUAGCUGUCUUCAGACAUACCAGAAGAGGGCAUCAGAUCUCAUUACAGAUGGUUGUGAGCCACCAGGUGGUUGCUGGGAAUUGAACUCAGGACCUCUGGAAGAGCAGUCAGUGCUCUUAACCGCUGAGCCAUCUCUCCAGCCCUACUAACAUUAUUUUUAAAAGUUAAUGGAGGGAAAGAAAGAAGAAAAAGUUUACUGAGUUCCAUGAUUCCUGAGGCCUCAGGACAGUGAACUAUGUUAGAUCCGGACGUUUCUGCAGAGGCUCUGCCAAUCCUAUAAGACAGAUGCAUAGAAACAGUUUCUAUGGAAACACACACGCCUCUUGUAACUGUAAUACUGAAGUCUAUGCUGCCUGUCAACACAAACACCAGAGCAGAGGCAGGUUCUCAGUCUCCAAGUGAUGACUGACUCAGACGGACAGCAAUCCAAGAACUCAGCAGUUUCACACUCUAAGAAGUGGGCCACUGUAUGUUGUAUAUCCAGGCAGUACAUUACGGAGGGUGGCAUGGACAGGACAGAACACAGGACAAAGCUAAUGUUGAAUGAUGCAAGCUGAGCGUGCCCUGACGAGGCGAGGUGUUCCUGUCCUACAGUUUAACCUUUCAAACAUGUGAUCCCUGACUGCAAGCUAAGCAUUCCCAAAAAACGUGUCAUCUUCCUAGAUCAGGAUCUUCAACUGGGCAUGCUCAGGGGUAUCCCCAGUCCAGAGGGAGGGAUUGUCUCCCUGAAUAGGAACAAAAUCCCUGCAGUUCUCCCUUCGGGAAGGACAUUGCUUUGGAAAUAACUCCUGUGCUCUCCUCACCCAUGGCAGUAAAUCUUCCUGCGUUCAUUGAA